Molecule: ribosomal RNA, 623 nt
Filed under: Hepatozoon canis
Lineage: Eukaryota; Apicomplexa; Hepatozoidae
Description: bacterial SSU rRNA
Rfam family: Eukaryotic small subunit ribosomal RNA
Source: RNAcentral
GAUAAAAAGCCAGUUCAUGCUUUUAUAGUAUGAAAAUUGGUGAUUUAUAAUAACUUAGCAAAUCGCAAAGUGAAAACAGGCGAUAAAUCAUUCAAGUUUCUGACCUAUCAGCUUUCGACGGUAUGGUAUUGGCUUACCGUGGCAGUGACGGUUAACGGGGGAUUAGGGUUCGAUUCCGGAGAGGGAGCCUGAGAAACGGCUACCACAUCUAAGGAAGGCAGCAGGCGCGCAAAUUACCCAAUUCUAACAGUUUGAGAGAGGUAGUAACAAGAAAUAACAAUACAAGGCAGUUAAAAUGCUUUGUAAUUGGAAUGAUAGAAAUUUAAACCCUUUUUAAAGUAUCAAUUGGAGGGCAAGUCUGGUGCCAGCAGCCGCGGUAAUUCCAGCUCCAAUAGCGUAUAUUAAAAUUGUUGCAGUUAAAAAGCUCGUAGUUGAAGUUCUGCUGAAAGUAACCGGUCUGCUUUUAAUAAAAGUGGUAUCUUGGUAUGUAUUUAGCAAUGAUGUCCUUUGAAGUGUUUUUUACUUUAUUGUAAUAAAGCAUAUUCAGGACUUUUACUUUGAGAAAAUUAGAGUGUUUCUAGCAGGCUAACGCUUUGAAUACUGCAGCAUGGAAAUAAUAAGAA